UUGGGAACAGGUGUUAGCUCAGUGUGAAUCUUCCUCAGCAAAAAAGAAAAAAAGAAAAGAAAAAAGAUAAAACAAGGUAUUGAGCAUAUGACAAAGUAACAGAAAUAAGCAGGAAAACUUGAGAAAGAACCAAAAAUACAUCUAGAAAUGAAAAUUUUGAUAAUUUAAAUAAAUUCGAUGGACAGUAUAAACAGCUGGUUAAAUAUAGCUAAAAAGAGAAUUGGUGAAGUAGAAGUUAGAUCUGAGAAAUCACCCAAAUUAAAGCAUAGAGAGAUGAAGAAAUAGAAAAAAAUAUGAAUGAAACAUCAAGAGUUACAGAGAACAGAGUGAGAGACAUUGACAUGGACUAGUCAGAAUUUCAGGAGACAAAUGAGAAUGCAAGAGAGGGAAUCUUCAAAGAGAUAAUGGCUGAACAUUCUUUGUAAUUGAUGAAAGAAAUGAAUUUAUAGAUUCAGAAAGCCAAAUAAAUUCCUAUCAGGAUAAAUGAAAAGAAAUUUACACUUAGAAACAUUAUAGUGAACUUAUAGAACCUGAACUAUAAAGGGAAAGUCUUAAAAGUAGCUAAGGAAAAAACAGGUUACUCCACAGGAAUCAUAAUCAGAUUGACAGCUGACUUUGCAACAUCAACAUUGGAAAACAGAUGACAAUGGUACAACAAAUGUGCGAGUGUUUAUUUCAGAUGUUUUAGUUGGAGCUUGAAGGUUGGAGUAAAUUUCAGUCCAUCUAGAAUCUGGGCUCUAGGUGAGAGCAUAAUGUCUACUUCAGAAAAGCAUAAAAUAUAGAAGGAGUCUAGCAGUGAAGGUCUUAAAGGGUCUGCCUUUAAUCUGCCUUGUAAGAAGCCAAGGAAAUCCAAAGAAUAGCACAAAAAGAGCAAGACUACACUUUCUUUGGCCUUUACUAUGGUAAGGGGUGCUUUUGCGCAUGCACAGGAGUCUUGGAAAUUGCCAUUGCCCAAGAUCACCCAGGGUAACAAUAGUGACCAAUGGAGGGCAAAGAGGUGGAUUUGAAUUUCAGCAUGUGACUUUCCAGAUGGAGGCUGCAGAAAUUCAAUUGAUGGUUUGAAAUUGAACUUUUCCAAAACUCAAAAGAGAGGCAGGUUAUUUAUUCGGUAAGAGCUAUUUUGCUGAUAACAUUAGAGGUGAAAAGCUCUUGGGAGACAAUUUAGUUCAAGCUCCCAAUUUUAAAGGUCAGAAAACUGAUGGUCAGAAAGGAGAAGCAACUAGCUUAUGGUUACACAACCAGGCAACUAACAUACUGGGGCUAGAAACCAAAUUUCCCGUUAUGUUCUGCUGGAAUUUUUCCCUCUAGGAGACAUAGGAGAGUUAAGCACCCAAAUAAAAACAGUGUCUCAGACAUGAUCUUUAAUGCAGUGAUUUUUUUUGUCCCUUGUUUUUCAUUCACGUCCAGGCAGCUCAGGGGAACAUCUUGAAUGAGCAAGGUCGGAGCAUCCUGGAAGCCUUUUCCUGCUUGGAAACCCCUGGUCAGUUAGGACUAGGAUCAGGACCAUCCACCUGCUCCAGGCUCUGUGGGAGUGCUGAGGGAAUUGGGCCUUCUAUUUAUGUUAGUUUGGAUGGUUAGUUAUGUAAAUAUGUGUCUAUUUAGUGUGCUCAGCUUUUAAAUCAGAUCUAAUGGUAAUAUUGGUUUGCUUCCCAUAUUGCCCAGUGAGGAGCAGAUCAUUGCCAGUAACUUUUGCAUGAGGAGAAUUACAAAUUGUUCAUGCAAACAUGGCAUACUCUUUAUUUUGAAUGCUUUACAUUUUGUUUACUUAGGUUUGAAACACGAUAGAGGUAGACAUGCCCUUGGCGCAUAUCUCCCAUGUUUUUCAUCCCAAAGUGUGUACUGAGUAUACCUUAUGGGGUAAAAUCACUUGAAAUGCUCCAUGCUGCCGGGUUUCACCUUCCCUGAUUCCAAGAGUUAUCCAGCCAACCCUUCAUUACAGAACUGGCCCCAGGCAGCCCGGAGGCCUGGCGACAAUGUGUUGCAUGAUGCACAAAGCCCUGUCAGUUACCCUGACCAGCCUCCAACAUCGUUUCUGGAACUUUGUCUGAGGCAGAAUCCCUCACCCCACCUUGAGCCACUCUCCAGCUACCUAGACAACUGCUUCAUUUGGCUAAUGGUGACCCGGGUCUGGCUUUCUCUUCAUUUUUAUUUCCUGGGGGCCAACAGCCAUAGGUUCUGUGGGAAUCAAACAAGAAAAGAGUAGCACGUCAGAGUGGAAUUUUCCCAGCCUGUAUUCUCCUUCCAAGUGCAGAUUCCCUGGCUGGGUACAGCCUGCAGGACUGUGGAUGUGAGUGAAAGAGAAGGCAUUGUGUUGGAUGGACUGCGUGGAUAUUCUGGGACAAUAACCACAAAGCACUGAGCGUAAGGGGCUUCUUAAAGCUUCGGACCCUGUCAGGCAACUCGGGACUGUUGUUCCCUAGCCCUUCUCACAUAUUCUCUCCCUUUCCCCUGUGGCAAAGACCUUCUGGCAUGGAACAUCCUCUGUUGUCCUAGAAACAGGUCAGAGCUUCUUUUUAUCCUGAACAUAAAUUUGCAUGGUUUAGAAAAAUAAACCGAAAAAGUGCAUUGGAAUAGACUUUCUGGAGGGCACCCUGACAAUAGGCAUCAAAAACUAAAAGGCAAUUACAGUUUCGGGGAUUUAUUCCAAAGAAACAAUCAGACUCAUACAUAAAGCUCUCAGUACAAGAUGUUCAUCAGAGUGUUGUUUAUGAGAAGGCAAUGGGAUUCCAGAGUUUCUACUAAGUGCAGUUAGGCAACAUCUCUUCCACCACAUAUGCAUUUGCAUCCACUAGUUUAAGAGGCUGAACACAAGGCUAAGUGAGGAGCUGAAGAGUUUCCUGAGGAUAAAUAAUUGAGACUCUGUCUUUUUUUUAGGUUGAGAUAUAUAUAGGCAGGUCUGGUGAAUGUUGCCCCAGUGGAAACCAGAUGGAGGGCAUCCUAAGAUAAAUUUUACCGUAAAGGAAAAAGCAAGCCGGGCUUAGCAAUAGGGCCCAGUAGUUGCAAGGAAGCAGUGGUUCCAAACACAGCAUGUUGGCUGAUACUAGCACUUGAACCCAUUUCUCUAGUAGUGACUGAUCAUUCUGGUUUGGUGGGGACUGAUGAAUUUCCUGGCAAGUGGAACUUCCAGUGCUACAAUCAGGAAAGUCCUGGCAAACUGGAACGGUUGCUCAUCCUACCCUCUACUAGGGAGGUGUGGGUGGGACUUAGAGAAAGAAGCUUUGCAAGAAUGAUAAGACUGUGUAACUCAACACUGGACACAUUGGGCUUUGAGCAUCCUUGCGACGGGACCCAAACAAAGGAAGAUAUAUUUUCCUUCUUACCUCCCAAGGGUGGUAAUAGCAAUAAAGACCGUCAGUUUUGAAGUACACUAAUAGUAUUUGGUUGUGCCAACAUUUGGAGUAGCAGAUUUUCAGAACAUGGUGAUGAGUUGGUACAACAACACGAGCAAAGUUCCAGCCCACAGCACAUCCCUGUGAAGCUGUCAGAUGGAGGAUGUGGCACCUUGACUCGGCCACCCGUGGAAGCAAACAACGCCAGGAGUGACCCACCGACGCAUGAUCCUGCUCUUGGGAAGUUGGACCUCCGUACACACAGUCCCUUUGGAAGUCUCGUGAUUACCUGGAGAAGCACUGCAACUCGAGAGCUGGAGGCAGCAGUUGAGAAGUCAGACACUUUUAAACCCGGGCAUUUCCCAUCUUUUUCAUCGGAAUCUCUAAGGUAACUUGAAUGGGAACUUCAGUUCCGCAGGCAUCCUAAGACUGCAAAAUUGCCUCUAACUGUUAAGCUUUCUGCAUCUGCGUGAGCCUCACCCACAUUGACUAGGCCAGCACCUCCCACCUCCUAUUGCUCUCUCUCUCUCUUUUUCUAUUUGUUAAGUCAAUAUUUCCCUAUCGGAAGUAUUGUCUUCUCUUGCCCUAAAUUCAAAUUCUUCAAGGCUCUCAGAAGGUUAGAACAGGUGGAGACGCUAGCACUGAGCUAUCCCAACCCCUCCUUUUCACAGCUGAGGAAACUGGGGUCAGAGUGGUUAAGAGACUUACCUACAGGCACAGAGCAAUUUUCUGCAAAGUCAAGAACAGUCUGGAUUGCAUAAGAUGACGGGCCUCUGAAAUCACGCAGACCGCACAUGAGUCUCAGAUCUAUCCCUCAUCCUGUGUCCUCAGGCAUAACCACGUAACACAGCCUCUACAUCAUCUGUAAAAUGGGGACCAUAAAACAUAUAUUAAGGGUUGUUAUUUAGACUAAAUGAGAACUAGAAGAAUGUCUGGCCUACUAUAGGCUUUCAGUAAAUGUCAACUUCCUUUCUUUCAAAGACAAGACACCAAAAGCAGUAAAAUAUGUAGGAGAUUAAGAUGGCCAAAUCUCUCAAUUUAUUUUAGGCCACAUGUAAAUGAGACAGAACUUCUAUUCUUAACUGAUUUCUGUAAUGCUUAUCAUUUUCUAAAAACCCUGUAUCUCCACAGGAACUCCCUGAAAAAAAGAAUAUUUCUACCAAUGGCAGAACUUAGGAUUCUUGUGCUUCUCUUUUAGAGCCUGGAAAGUGCUUUUUCCUGGCAUUGUAAGGGGGCAGGGAUCCCCUUGACAUUGGCCUGUGUUACUCAGGAUAUAGCUCAAGAUCCAGAGGAUGGGCCUCCUGAUAAGAUUCACAUGGUAAUCAUAGAAAAUCAGGCUGAACGCCUAGCGUAGAAUCAGGAAGAUUACGAGAUGAAUGGACUGAUGUGAAUAUGAAACAUUGCCUGUUCUUCAAAGUGAGAAAGAAGAAAAGAAAGAUACUGUGAGUGGAAUGAGAACUUGAUAGCAAACUAGAGCUACAGCCUUGGAGAAGAUGGACGAUAGAAUGGAAUCUGUUAGACACACGCUCAUGGAGACUAGCAUUUGCCAGGGGCCCACUGUGUGCCAAGUUCUGCACUUGGACUUCAUACUCUAUCAUACUCUGCAGGUACACCUGCAAUGGAUUUUCAGUAAACCCUCUUUGGUUGAACGAGCAAAGCUUCAUCUUCUCCCCUCCAUGUGAAGUACUGUGGCCUGAGCCCAUCAUGUGCAGCCAGCAAGUGUGACCGACUUUGCAGGGGAAACUGGAGUUGAUUGUGCACACGUGCAGGAGGGGCCUUUGCUGGCAUUUAAUGUUCACUUUUGCAGUUGGAGUUUUCUGAAGCCAAAAUAGCAUUUAAAGUGAGUUAACCUGUCACCUGAUCCUUUAAGUCACUCAAAUAUUGAUUUAGUUCUUGUUUUCUUAUCAAGACAUCCAAAUAUUGGACAAAGACAGAUCUAAAUGUCAGAAAUCAUUCCAAAAUACUUAUAUACUUUUGAAUACAUUUUUAGUAUCAACUUAGCUUUUUUUCACAAGAUAUUUUUACAUGUUGUACAUAGAGACGAGUAGAUGUAGAGAUUGAAAAGCGAGAUUAUACAUUCCAUUCAACCACUCUCACGGAGGAGCUAAAUACGUCAAGAUGCGAGGUUCAGGAGGAGAUUACUGCCCUCAUGAAGGCCAUGUACUAGUGCACCAAGCAGCGAUUCUGUCCUUGUGCAUUAUCCUGAACGUAUUCAGGGAAAUGUGAAAUUCAACUGCCUGAAAACCAAAGAAAUUGCAAAUUUGUGAUGACUAUAACUAAUCUCUCUCUACUCCUAGUGAAAUGAUGCCUGUAAAGAACUUAACAGAGUGACUGACACAUAAUAAGUAUUCAAUAAUCAUUAUCUACCUUUCCCCUAAUGAUUGAGAAGAGAAUUAAUCAACUAUUUAUAAUGAAGUGGCGUGGAUGGGAAAUUGUUACUAGAAACUUCCAUCUAGCCAGAAGGACCCAAGCUGUUAUUGUGCUUUAAUUGAAUUUAUCAGAUAACUGUUUAAUUCAUUAACUUUACUUCCCCUGCAUGAACACAGAGCUAACUAUAUUGUGAAGGAAAUAAAAUGAAAGAGAAACAAAGAAAACCUUAAAAUAUAAAAUGUUGAAACUGUUGUGAAAAUUGCGAGGCACCUAAAACAAGAAAGACAACGUUACAAGAAAACACAAAACAUGUAUUAUAAAUGACCGGCUUCUGAGGAUAAUAUAAAGCUUUUACUGUGAUGAUAGACACAUCGGAUUCACAGCAAAUGCAUAGAGAUUGACUGAUAUCAUAUUAAAAGGAAUUGGCUAAUGUGCUUACUGAACGUGGAAUUUUCAAUUAUAAAGAAAGAAGAAUGUGCCAAAAUUCUAGAAGAAAGCAGGUUUGCACAGCAUCCUACAAGAUGGCUUGGCCUUUGCCUGAUGAUCCAGAAGGAAUCUUGUGUUCCCUACCUUACUGAGAGUCUGGCUUAAGGGCACAGGAGCACAAGUAGGGGCCUGCCACGCGGGGAACUCAGCCUCGAGACCUGGCAUUCCAGGAGCUUCUCCGCUCUGCCGGGAAAUUACACAGUUGGAUGGAGACAGGGAAUUGCUCUGCUGUUCCUCAGAAAGGAAGGACAGAGAUGCCAGCAACAACACCUCUUCCAGUGGCAUCUCCAUCUGGUCAGAUAGCUAAACAGUUAUAAAGGAGAACCUUGGUAAACCCCAGUGGGGAGGAUAGAAUUAUGCUCAAUAGGCAGGGUGAGCACAAAAUGCUGAGAACACAUCAUCCCAGACACGCUCAAUCGUUAUUUGUGUUAAAAUUACAAAAACACAAUUGGUUGUGGUAAACUGUAGUUGUUGUAUGUUUAGAAUUAUUGAAGUAAUAAAGAAUUGGCUCUCAGUCUCAUGACAUUUUACUGGCAAAUUCUUCUCAAACUGGUUUCGAUCUGAUUGUAAUCAUUCUGUAGGCUGAAAACUAGCUGGAACAUAUUAAAACAGAGCUUCCUGAUCCCGUGGAAAUCAAUCCAGUCAGAGAAUGGCCAAGUGGGUUGCCUCAGGGUAAAUGUUAGGCCUCAACAUGGCCUCCCUUCCAAAGGUGCAGCCUCUGAAAGCAUUUCACUACAUGGCAGCGUGAGCUCCUCGACUAGUUCUGGCCAAGUCUCUCAGACAAUUCACUGCCUGAUGUGUAUUCUAACUCCCACUAUAUCAGCCCGCUUCAGUCUGAUAAGAAACUGCUAGAGAGCAGGCUCUAUUUCUGUUUGUCCUGCAUGUAGAGUCUACACACUGGGCUCUACUGGCAGAGUCUGGGAAGAAUAAGAUGGUAACGCUUCAUAGUCAUUACCUGCCAUGCACUGUGUUAAGCAUUUUUAUGCAUUAUCUCAUUA
Molecule: long non-coding RNA, 7183 nt
Organism: Equus caballus (horse)
Lineage: Eukaryota; Metazoa; Chordata; Mammalia; Perissodactyla; Equidae
Source: RefSeq, a predicted model, not a curated record